GACGAACGCUGGCGGCGUGCUUAACACAUGCAAGUCGAACGGAAAGGCCCUGCUUUUGUGGGGUGCUCGAGUGGCGAACGGGUGAGUAACACGCGAAUAACCUGCCCUUGACUUUGGGAUAACUUCAGGAAACUGGGGCUAAUACCGGAUAGGAGCUCCUGCUGCAUGGUGGGGGUUGGAAAGUUUCGGCGGUUGGGGAUGGACUCGCGGCUUAUCAGCUUGUUGGUGGGGUAGUGGCUUACCAAGGCUUUGACGGGUAGCCGGCCUGAGAGGGUGACCGGCCACAUUGGGACUGAGAUACGGCCCAGACUCCUACGGGAGGCAGCAGUGGGGAAUAUUGCACAAUGGGCGGAAGCCUGAUGCAGCAACGCCGCGUGCGGGAUGACGGCCUUCGGGUUGUAAACCGCUUUCGCCUGUGACGAAGCGUGAGUGACGGUAAUGGGUAAAGAAGCACCGGCUAACUACGUG
Molecule: ribosomal RNA, 468 nt
Filed under: uncultured bacterium
Lineage: Bacteria
Description: partial 16S ribosomal RNA
Rfam family: Bacterial small subunit ribosomal RNA
Source: RNAcentral